CCGGGCAGGGCUCGGGACCUGCAGCCCGCCAUGCCAGAGUCCCCCGCGGUGGGCUCCUCGGCAGCCCGAGACUCCUCGACGGGCGCCGCCCACUGCGCCCGGUCCCAUCGACCGCCCAAGGGCUGAGGAGUGCAGGUGAGCACCACAGGACUAGCGGGCAGCUCCUCCCACGGCCCUGGCGUGUGAUCCACUAGGGGAAGCCAGCUGGGCUCCUGAGUCAGGUGGGGACUUGGAGAACCUUUAUGUCUAGCUAAAGGAUUGUAAAUGCACCAAUCAGUGCUCUGUGUCUAGCUCGGAGUUUGUGGAUGCACCAAUCAGCACUCUGUAUCUGGCUAAUCUGGUAGGGACUUGGAGAACCUUUAUAUCUAGCUAAAGGAUUGUAAAUAACACCAAUCAGCACUCUGUGUCUAGCUCAAGGUUUGUAAAUGCACCAGUGUUCUGUGUCUAGCUAAUCUAGUGGGGACUUGGAGGGCCAGAUAAGAGAAUAAAAGCAGGCGGCUGGAGCCAGCAGCAGCAACCUGCUUGGGUCCCCUUCCACACUGUGGAAGUUUUGUUUUUUCACUCGUUGCAAUAAAUCUUGCUGCUGCUCGCUCUUUGGGUGUGCACUGCCUUUAUGAGCUGUAACACUCACCUAGAAGGUCUGCAGCUUCACUCCUGAGGUCAGCGAGACCACGAACCCACCUAGAGGAAUGAACAACUCCAGACGCGCCGCCUUAAGAGCUGUAACACUCACGGCGAAGGUCUGCAGUUUCACUCCUGAAGCCAGUGAGACCACGAACCCACCAGAAGGAAAAAACUCUGACCACGUCUGAACAUCAGAAGGAACAAACUCCGGACACACCAUCUUUAAGAACUGUAACACUCACCUCGAGGGUGUGCAGCUUCAUUCUUGAAGUCAGUAAGACCAAGAACCCACCAAUUCUGGACACAGUGCAAUCAUAGCUCACUGCAGCCUUGAACUCCUCAGGUCAAGCAAUCCUCCUGCCACAGCCUCCUAAGUAGCUGGGACUACAAGUACACACCACCAUGUCCAGCUAAUUUUUGUAUUUUUUAUAGAGAUGAGGUCUCACUAUGUUGCCCAAGCUGGUCUCAAACUCCUGGCUUUCAGAAAUCGUCCUUCCUCGUCCUCCCAAAGUACUAGGAUUAUAGGUAUGAGCCAUUUUGCCCAAUCUAAUUUGUGGUCUUUUCACAAAUACCCUCCCCCUCUCACAUUCCGUGUGUGUGUGUGUGACUAUCAUAAAUACUGUCAUUUUUUUCCAUGUUGAUGAAAGAGCUUAAUACAAAUAUAUAAUAGAAGGAAAAAAUAAAAUUGGGUAAUUUUCACUUCGUUGAUGUUAUUAUUAUUUUCCAAGCUUUGAAGCAAUCACAGAUGAGAAGAUCUUCAUUUGAAAACACAUAAAAGUCCUGAAAAUAGUACAAUUAAAAUGAAAAGGAAAUUACCAGAGUAAAUAAUUGCUGUAAAUAUGACCCACGAAGUGUUAAUUUCCAAGUCUUUGGAAAGUCUAAUGUAUGUCUGGGGCGGGGAGGGGAGCCAAAGAAUGCAGGAGGAAUGUUCCUCAAAAGAAGAAACACAAUUCACACAAAAGGCAAUGCUUAUUUUUAAAUGGUUCAACCUCACAGUAAUCAAAGAAAUGCAAAUUAAAAGUACAAUAAGAAAUCAUUUAUCCAUUGUAGCCGGGUGCGGUGGCUCACGAAUUUAAUUUUUUAUGUAACUCGCAAACUUCACAAGUGUGGAGUCUGAGACCGGAAGUGCUACCAAACUCCACUGAAAGUGAAGUUUGAGGCCAGAAGUGGGAUUUCCUUGCUGCAUAAUAAAAGUGGGCUUUGGCUGAGUAAAAUUGGAAGCAGAGAGGGCUUAGAAUAGAUGUUUAUAAAGAAAGAAAAUCCUAAUUGAAGGGGAAGACCAGGUAAUGUUAUAAUUCACUAUUUUGAGAAAAUGGAAUCUUUUGAAUUCAUUCUCCUUGUAAUACAAGGGAAAUGAAAAUCUAUAGUACAAUGCUCAUGGCACAAUUUUAACUGUUUACAUUAAAAUAUAAAUUUUUCCAGAAAAAAAAUUUAAAUUUGACAUAUUUAAUGAAACCUCCUAUAACAAAAGGAAAAUUGCUAUAGAAAUAAAUGUAUAUAUAUAUAUAUAUAUAUACACACACACACACAUUUAUGUAUAUAUUUGAGAUUUUCCAUUCAUCAGUAGUAACCUCUCUAAUGUAGACCAACCUUGUUUAGUAGAACUUUCUGUGAUAAUGGACAUGUUCCAUAGCUGCACCAUCCAAUAUGGUACUCACUAGCCAUAUGUGGCUAUUGAGUACUUGAAACAUGGCUAGUGCAACAGAGAAACUUAAUUUUGAAUUUUAUUUACAUUUAAUUAAUUUAAAUAUAAAUAGCCCACAUGUAACUAGUGGCUACCAUAUAAACAACCUAGCUCUGGUCUAGAUCACUUAGAAAUGUGGGGAGAGUCAAAUAUGUAUAGAUUUGAUAUCACUAUCAGUUAUUUCUUAUCUGUAUCAACUACCAUUGACCAUUACUGAAAUCAUUAAUGCCUGAAGAAGUGUGCUCCAACAUUAAUUUAGCAGGAUUUUGAGAAAUACUGUCAUGUGAUAGGCCAAAUUGUAAAGAGUACUAUUUUGUUUUCAUCAGAAAUUAAAUACCCUCUUGCGGAGAUUUUCUAUUUCUUUUGGUAUUCUGUCAUACAAUAUAAUUUUUUAUGUUUACUUUAAUAUUUGAAUUAUUACAGUAGAAUUUCUUUAUGAUACUUUCUCAGAGAUGAAUGCUUUUCAUAUGGUCGAUAGGAAGACAUUAUAAAAUUACUUUAUAAGCCUGGGACAGCAACUUUUAAAAUGGCCUUUGUAAACAAGACUACAUGAAAAAGAUAAAUACACUAAUGAAAAUUCUAACUAUGGGGACAAAUAUUUUUAAAAGUUUAGUUAUAAUUGGCUGGGUGUCGUGGCUCAUGACUGUAAUCCCAGAACUUUGGGAGGCCAAGGUGAGUGGAUCAUCUGAGGUCAGGAUUCAAGACCAGCCUGACCAACAUGGUGAAACCCUGUCUCUACUAAAAAUACAAAAUUAGCCGGGCGUGGUGGCAGGCGCCUGUAAUCCUAGCUACUUGGGAGGCUGAGGCAAGAGAAUCACUUGAACCCGGGAGGUGGAGGUUCCAGUGAGCUGAGACCACACCAUUGCACUCCAGCCUGGGCAACAAGAGUGAAACUCCAUCUCAAAAAAUAAAUAAAUAAAUAAAUAAAUAAAAUAAAAAUAAAAAAAGGAAAAAGUUUUCUUACAAGUUCUGCAAUGCAACUUGGCAAUACAACUUGGCAAAUAAUUCCAAAAAUGUAAUCGGCCUCAAAAAGUGCUCCCUAGCCUUGUUUCUCCAAAAGCUGAUUCUACUUCCAAAGCACACAUCAGAGUUUAAAUCUCCCAUGACCUUUUCAGGCGUUUAGUGGAAAUGAUCAUUAGGAUUUGUGAUGAUACUUUUAUAAUAAUGCUAGACAGUAAUAUUAUAGAUAGGAUAAUUGCGUAUAAAAUAAUAUUGAAAAUUUUAAAUUUGUAUAGAUUUUAAAAGUUAGUAAAUUCAUAUCUUGAAUGCUGAUUAUUUGUAGGACAUUGAACCUAGAGACUCUGGGAAAUAUUUUUUUAAAUGGGAGACAUCCGUCCUUUUAGGAACUCCAUUUAUUGGACCUGGGCAUGUUCUUUUGGAAGGAUAGGAUUCAGAUAAGCGAGAGAGAGGAGACUUCCUUUGGCAUAACCUUGGACAAGCUACUGAGUGUUCCUUCUGCAGUGAAACAAUAGGAUUCUGGAUAAAACAUACUUUCUAAUGAAUUACUUGACUUCAGGAAACUUUUUUAACAACUCUAAAGAUCCUUCUUCCUUGCCUCAGGAUGAAAAAAUUAAAAAGCAUGAGGUGAAACUGCUGUUGAAGAGUAAUAAACAAACAGGAAAAGUGGGAUGGACAAUUAAAUUGUAUGGGUUGUAUUUAUUUGCAAAGAUACUGUUGGAAGUAUAGCAGUCACAUGCUCUAUUAGACUGCUCCUAAACCGAGCCUUAUUUGAAAAAAAAAACAAGGAGAACCAACAACCACAUUUGUAGACCCAGUUUUUUGGUGUCCUUUUUUUUUUUCCUUUUGGUAUCUUCAGUUAAGUAGCCAACCACUUUCAUAUUGUCAGAUCUGUUUUCAGAAAGAGGGCCUACUUUUGCUCAGAAACCAGUGUUCUGUGUGGAGAAAACAUGGGUCUCCAUUGAAGGAAUCCUACAAAUCUCUGAUAUCUGCAUGUUUGAGAAAGUACUUUCAUUCAGACACAUGGACUGUAACUUCUGAGUCCUUAACCACCACCUCAAAUUAGUAUUUGUCUACUUUUAAGUGUAUUUAACUUUUUGUUAUGAAAAUUCAGAAUAUAUUAGAAAAGUAGAGGGAAAAGUGUAAUGAAAUUUUGUAUAACCAUACCUACCUUCCACAGCUAUCAUCUCAUGGGCCAGGUUGUUUCAUAAUUGUUGUUUCCACUUUCCACUUCCACCUCAAAUUAUUUUGAAGCGAAUCCCAGACAUGACAUCAUUUUAUCUGGUAACAUUUCAG
RNAcentral lists this long non-coding RNA (4561 nucleotides) under Homo sapiens (human). Its description in RNAcentral is "non-protein coding lnc-SBDS-3:1". Lineage: Eukaryota; Metazoa; Chordata; Mammalia; Primates; Hominidae. The record is from RNAcentral.